AGAUUGAACGCUGGCGGCAGGCCUAACACAUGCAAGUCGAGCGGUAGAGAGGUGCUUGCACCUCUUGAGAGCGGCGGACGGGUGAGUAAUGCCUAGGAAUCUGCCUAGUGGUGGGGGAUAACGUUCGGAAACGGACGCUAAUACCGCAUACGUCCUACGGGAGAAAGCGGGGGACCUUCGGGCCUCGCGCCAUUAGAUGAGCCUAGGUCGGAUUAGCUAGUUGGUGAGGUAAUGGCUCACCAAGGCGAACGAUCCGUAACUGGUACUGAGAGGAUGAUCAGUCACACUGGAACUGAGACACGGUCCAGACUCCGUACGGGAGGACAGCAGGUAGGGAAUAGUUAGGAACAAGUGGGACGAAAGCCUGGAUCCAGCCAUGCCGCGUGUGAGAAGAAGGUCUUGGAUUGUAAAGCUAACGUUUAAGUGGAGGUAAGGUUGUUAAACGUUAAAUUACGUUAGACUAACGUUUGACGUUACCGACAAGAUAAGCCUACGACUAACUUCGACG
RNAcentral lists this ribosomal RNA (508 nucleotides) under uncultured soil bacterium. RNAcentral describes it as "bacterial SSU rRNA". It matches the Rfam family "Bacterial small subunit ribosomal RNA", at positions 26 to 508 of the family's 1533-position model. The record is from RNAcentral.